CUCAACACAUCGUUUCCUCCCCACACAAUAUUUUCUUCCACAAAAUCGUGACCUAGCAACAGAUUCCAGAACAGUAAGUAAUACUUCUUCUUUGGUUUUCUAUUUUCUUCUUUUUUCAUUUAGGCUUCUCAUUUUCUGUUUUCCCUCUUUUCUUCCCUAAUCUUCCUCUCCUCUUCUUCUUUCAUUUUAUUCUUCAUCUUUCUAUCCUUCUCUUUUUAUCAUUCUUGUUAAAGAUUUGUGCCUUAAACCCUAUAUAUUGAAUACCAAUUUUAGGGUUUGUCAUUCUUUUUUAAUAUUGUUUGGUUUUUGAUGCAGCAAGUUUUUUUUUUUAAUUAUACCUAAUUUUUGACAUUCUUAUUUAUCAUUUUAUUUUUGAUGCAACAAGUCAUCAUUGCCAUUGAAAGGGAUCGUUUCUAUUGAAUUUGUUGGUACAAAAUCAACUGCAAAAAGGAAAUGGUGCUAUCUAAUGUUUUGUAAGUGUUAUGUUUAAAACAAUAAAUAGACCAUGUUUCACAACAUCUUAUAAUUUGAAUUUGUUAUCUUUACUUUUUAAAUGGCCUGUGUUAAAAAAACUGU
RNAcentral lists this long non-coding RNA (576 nucleotides) under Zostera marina. RNAcentral's name for it is "long non-coding RNA (ZMAR_LNC000582)". The record is from RNAcentral. Lineage: Eukaryota; Viridiplantae; Streptophyta; Magnoliopsida; Alismatales; Zosteraceae.